Small nucleolar RNA from Callorhinchus milii (elephant shark), 131 nucleotides. The record is from Ensembl. NCBI's taxonomy places the organism in Eukaryota, Metazoa, Chordata, Chondrichthyes, Chimaeriformes, Callorhinchidae.
CUGCACUGUUCGUAACCUGUUGCCUGUGUUCUCCACGCCUCGGGUUCCAUUCCAGUGCCACAUUAAACCCCACUGGAACGAAGGGUAGGUGGUGUACUGUAACCUGACCUUUUCCAGAGCUGGGAACAUAC